Molecule: ribosomal RNA, 254 nt
Filed under: uncultured bacterium
Lineage: Bacteria
Description: partial 16S ribosomal RNA
Rfam family: Bacterial small subunit ribosomal RNA
Source: RNAcentral
UACGUAGGGGGCUAGCGUUGUCCGGAAUCAUUGGGCGUAAAGAGCGUGUAGGCGGUCCGGUAAGUCCGCUGUGAAAGUCGGGGGGCUCAACCCUCGAAUGCCGGUGGAUACUGUCGGGCUAGAGUGCGGAAGAGGCGAGUGGAAUUCCUGGUGUAGCGGUGAAAUGCGCAGAUAUCAGGAGGAACACCGAUUGCGAAGGCAGCUCGCUGGGACGUAACUGACGCUGAGACGCGAAAGCUAGGGGAGCGAACGGG